This 497-nucleotide ribosomal RNA is filed under the name uncultured bacterium. Its description in RNAcentral is "partial 16S ribosomal RNA". It matches the Rfam family "Bacterial small subunit ribosomal RNA", at positions 28 to 507 of the family's 1533-position model. The record is from RNAcentral.
GAUGAACGCUGGCGGCGUGCCUAAUACAUGCAAGUCGAGCGAACAGACGAGGAGCUUGCUCCUCUGACGUUAGCGGCGGACGGGUGAGUAACACGUGGAUAACCUACCUAUAAGACUGGGAUAACUUCGGGAAACCGGAGCUAAUACCGGAUAAUAUAUUGAACCGCAUGGUUCAAUAGUGAAAGACGGUUUUGCUGUCACUUAUAGAUGGAUCCGCGCCGCAUUAGCUAGUUGGUAAGGUAACGGCUUACCAAGGCAACGAUGCGUAGCCGACCUGAGAGGAUGAUCGGCCACACUCGAACUGAGACACGGUCCAGACUCCUACGGGAGGCAGCAGUAGGGAAUCUUCCGCAAUGGGCGAAAGCCUGACGGAGCAACGCCGCGUGAGUGAUGAAGGUCUUCGGAUCGUAAAACUCUGUUAUUAGGGAAGAACAAAUGUGUAAGUAACUAUGCACGUCUUGACGGUACCUAAUCAGAAAGCCACGGCUAACUACGUG